This 54-nucleotide transfer RNA is filed under the name Typhlatya dzilamensis. Its description in RNAcentral is "tRNA-Lys". Lineage: Eukaryota; Metazoa; Arthropoda; Malacostraca; Decapoda; Atyidae. The record is from RNAcentral.
CAUUAGAUGACUGAAAGUAAGUGUAGGUCUUUUAAACCUAUUAUAGUAUCACGC